This 463-nucleotide ribosomal RNA is filed under the name uncultured bacterium. Its description in RNAcentral is "partial 16S ribosomal RNA". It matches the Rfam family "Bacterial small subunit ribosomal RNA", at positions 28 to 507 of the family's 1533-position model. The record is from RNAcentral.
GACGAACGCUGGCGGCGUGCUUAACACAUGCAAGUCGAACGGUGAACCUCUUCGGAGGGGAUCAGUGGCGAACGGGUGAGUAACACGUGGGCAACCUGCCCCCGGCUCUGGGAUAACUCCAAGAAAUUGGGGCUAAUACCGGAUGUUCACCGCUUCCCGCAUGGGUGGUGGUGGAAAGGGUUUCCGGCUGGGGAUGGAGCCGCGGGCGUUCAGCUUGUUGGUGGGGUAGUGGCCUACCAAGGCGACGACGGGUAGCCGGCCUGGGCGGGGGACCGGCCACGCCAGGACUGGGAUACGGCCCAGACCCCUACCGGACGGAGGAGUGGGGAAUAGUGCCCAAUGGGCGGGAGGCUGACCCAACGACGCCGCGUGGGGGGAAACGGGCUUGUGGUUGGAAACCUAUUUCAUCAGGGCCGGAGCGCAAGUGACGGUACCUGGAGAAGAAGCACCGGCCAACUACGUG